ACGCGUAUUCUCGGGUUGAUAAUACAUUCGUGAUGUUAUUGCUUGAGAAUACACGUAG
This 58-nucleotide microRNA precursor is filed under the name Ptychodera flava. RNAcentral's name for it is "Pfl-Mir-137-v2_pre stem-loop". It matches the Rfam family "mir-137 microRNA precursor family", at positions 8 to 67 of the family's 72-position model. The record is from RNAcentral. Lineage: Eukaryota; Metazoa; Hemichordata; Enteropneusta; Ptychoderidae.